GUCAGCUGACACAUUCCAGCCAAUCAGCAGCAGACCCUCCCUCCCAGACCCUCCCACAUCCUGGACAGCAUCCAUUUUGAAACUGCAUUCUUAGUGAGCUGUCCAGGAGGUGGGAGGGACUGGGAGGAAGGGUCUGCUGCUGAUUGGCUGGAAUGUGUAAACCG
RNAcentral lists this microRNA precursor (164 nucleotides) under Pelobates cultripes (western spadefoot toad). The record is from RNAcentral. Lineage: Eukaryota; Metazoa; Chordata; Amphibia; Anura; Pelobatidae.